CCAUACAGUUUUAUGAAAUGCUGGUUUACGCCAUCUAUAUUUGCUAGUCUUGCUUUUGUAGAAGGCCUUGUCAAGCUUAUCCUUUUCAAUGUUUGGUCGCCACAGACUGCAUAUUCGAGAUCCACGAAGGAUUCCUAUGGGUAGAUUCAAGCCCCAACGGCCUCCACAUGACUGAAUACAAGCCAUAAGAAGAAAUGCUUCUCUUGCCAAGUCCUUUUCCUUCAUUGAGCUAGUGCAAAUAUCACAGUUUCCACAAUCAUCAUGGGCAUACUCAUCUGCAAAGUAAUCCAACAAAUAUUUUCUUCUACAAGUUGACAGCAUGCAGUAAUGUUGUGCAGCAGAAAAUGCUUCCGUAAUAGCUUUUCUUUGAGAUGCUGAA
Molecule: unclassified non-coding RNA, 379 nt
Filed under: Hevea brasiliensis (rubber tree)
Lineage: Eukaryota; Viridiplantae; Streptophyta; Magnoliopsida; Malpighiales; Euphorbiaceae
Source: RNAcentral